UACGAAGGGGGCUAGCGUUGUUCGGAAUUACUGGGCGUAAAGCGCGCGCAGGCGGCUAUCCAAGUCAGUGGUGAAAGCCCGGAGCUCAACUCCGGAACUGCCAUUGAAACUGUUUAGCUUGAGGACGAGAGAGGUGAGUGGAAUUCCCAGUGUAGAGGUGAAAUUCGUAGAUAUUGGGAAGAACACCGGUGGCGAAGGCGGCUCCCUGGCUCGUAACUGACGCUCAGGCGCGACAGCGUGGGGAUCAAACAGG
This 253-nucleotide ribosomal RNA is filed under the name uncultured bacterium. Its description in RNAcentral is "partial 16S ribosomal RNA". It matches the Rfam family "Bacterial small subunit ribosomal RNA", at positions 524 to 776 of the family's 1533-position model. The record is from RNAcentral.